AGAGUUUGAUCCUGGCUCAGAGCGAACGCUGGCGGCACGCCUAACACAUGCAAGUCGAGCGAGAAAGUGACUUCGGUCGCGAGUAAAGCGGCGAACGGGUGAGUACAACGUGGAUAAUCUACCCUAAGGUCUGGGACAACCCCGAGAAAUCGGGGCUAAUACCGGAUAAGACCACAGUAUCCAAGGAUACAGCGGUAAAAGAUUUAUCGCCUUUGGAUGAGUCCACGCCCCAUCAGGUAGUUGGUAAGGUAAAGGCUUACCAAGCCUAAGACGGGUAGCCGGCCUUAGCGGGUGAACGGCCACAUGGGGACUGAGACACGGCCCUGACUCCUACGGGAGGCAGCAGUGGGGAAUAUUGGGCAAUGGGCGAAAGCCUGACCCAGCGAUGCCGCGUGAGGGAUGAAGGCCUUCGGGUUGUAAACCUCUGUCAGGAGGGACGAUGGGACUUUGUCUUGACGGUACCUCCAGAGGAAGCCCCGGCUAACUCCGUGCCAGCAGCCGCGGUAAUACGGAGGGGGCAAGCGUUGCUCGGAAUUACUGGGCGUAAAGGGUCCGCAGGCUGUCAGGCAAGUUGGUUGUGAAAUCCCAAGGCUUACCUUGGAAUUGC
Molecule: ribosomal RNA, 607 nt
Filed under: uncultured bacterium
Lineage: Bacteria
Description: bacterial SSU rRNA
Rfam family: Bacterial small subunit ribosomal RNA
Source: RNAcentral